RNAcentral lists this non-coding RNA (45 nucleotides) under Trichobilharzia regenti. Lineage: Eukaryota; Metazoa; Platyhelminthes; Trematoda; Strigeidida; Schistosomatidae. The record is from RNAcentral.
CUACAGGUGACGAGUCCCAAACAGGCCGAAAUGCUCAUCCUGUAU